CUUGGUCAUGCUGCCUCAAACACACACAUCUGAAGCAAGCAUUGUUUCUUUCUUUCUUUCUUACUUUCUUUUUUGGUUUCUCUUCCCCACAUGAGAGAAGGAGGGAGAUUUAGUUACAGUACAAGUAAUGGAGAGUCCAUACUACGCGCCACCCCGGAUGGACGGAUCUCGACCGUCCUUAGGGUUCCCACUCGGGACAGCCCUCCUCUUGAUCGUCAUCUUCAGCUUGUGUGGAUUCUUUUCCUGUUGUUACCACUGGGACAAACUCCAAUCCCUCCGUCGAUCUUUCUCCGCCGAUACGGAUCUCGAGGCAGAUAACGGUGAUGGAUCACCCUCCAAACCUACAACUGCUUGCACUCGUUCAAAGCAAGACCAGAACCAAAGCUUGCCGGUGUUGAUGCCCGGAGAUCGGAUGCCAAAGUUCAUAGCGCUGCCGUGUCCUUGCGAGCCCCCACGGGCGGGAAAGAUCGUCCUAGAGCUGCAGAAGCCACCAAAGCCGCCGCCGCGCAUAGCCGUGCCUUUGUAUUAAGCAAAAAAAUUGACCAUUUUAAUGUGCCAUUGCUUGUGCUUUCACUGAGAAAUUUUUGGGUGCAAAUAGUGUAAAUGCUAUGCGGUACAUUUCUCUUCUCUCAUUGAUUGAGUGAGUGGAGAUUACAUUUAUGUAUUGGGUGAUGAGAAGAUAACAUGAAAGGCCACAGUAUUUGUGAUUGGUUGAAGGCGUCAUGUGACAUGCCACAUGAUAUCCUAUUUGCAUCCAAUAAUUUCUCGCUUUCACUUAUUGCUUUCAUAUUUUUGUAAGUCCAACUUUCAAGGGUUUGUUCAUUAUCUGCAACUUUGGUUUUUAGUACCAAUUUUAUUUUUUACA
Molecule: non-coding RNA, 865 nt
Organism: Camellia sinensis
Lineage: Eukaryota; Viridiplantae; Streptophyta; Magnoliopsida; Ericales; Theaceae
Source: RefSeq, a predicted model, not a curated record